RNAcentral lists this non-coding RNA (90 nucleotides) under Pseudomonas sp. WPR_5_2. Lineage: Bacteria; Pseudomonadati; Pseudomonadota; Gammaproteobacteria; Pseudomonadales; Pseudomonadaceae. The record is from RNAcentral.
UGUGGGAGCGAGCCUGCUCGCGAUGAGGUCGUCAUAUACAACAUUUAUGUUGACUGUCACGCCGCCAUCGCGAGCAGGCUCGCUCCCACA